This is a non-coding RNA of Schistosoma haematobium, 46 nucleotides long. The record is from Rfam. NCBI's taxonomy places the organism in Eukaryota, Metazoa, Platyhelminthes, Trematoda, Strigeidida, Schistosomatidae.
GCACUGCUGAGGAGUCCCAUACUAGGACGAAACGGUCGUUCAGUGC